GUUAGAACAGUAACAUUACGCCAUCUUCAAAAUAACAGUUGAACAGUGUCUCGUAGAUCAGUGUAGUGCAUGUCAUUUUUAAUAGUGAAAAAGUGUCCCAAAUCCGUUCACCCAAACCAAAUGAAUAGUAUUGUAAGUCUCAUCGUACAUGUCCCGAGUAAUCAAUGUUAACAUACGCAAUAUUUAUAGGAAUACAAGAAGCCCCCCUUAAACAUAACGGCAAUAAGCUUAAAAACGAAAAACGGUAGACAGUUUUACCCUUGAUAAAGGCCAAAUACAGAGUGCCGAAACGUUGGGCAAAACAAAACUUUCCGUUUUGAUUUCCCUAGACUGAGAAAGCCAUAAAAUCACAGUUAAAAUCCUUCCAGUCGAGUAUCCUAGAU
Molecule: long non-coding RNA, 383 nt
Organism: Aedes aegypti (yellow fever mosquito)
Lineage: Eukaryota; Metazoa; Arthropoda; Insecta; Diptera; Culicidae
Exons: 2
Source: RefSeq, a predicted model, not a curated record